This 497-nucleotide ribosomal RNA is filed under the name uncultured bacterium. RNAcentral's name for it is "partial 16S ribosomal RNA". It matches the Rfam family "Bacterial small subunit ribosomal RNA", at positions 28 to 507 of the family's 1533-position model. The record is from RNAcentral.
GAUGAACGCUGGCGGCGUGCCUAAUACAUGCAAGUCGAGCGAACAGACGAGGAGCUUGCUCCUUCGACGUUAGCGGCGGACGGGUGAGUAACACGUAGGCAACCUACCUAUAAGACUGGGAUAACUUCGGGAAACCGGAGCUAAUACCGGAUAAUAUUUCGAACCGCAUGGUUCGAUAGUGAAAGAUGGCUUUGCUAUCACUUAUAGAUGGACCUGCGCCGUAUUAGCUAGUUGGUAAGGUAACGGCUUACCAAGGCAACGAUACGUAGCCGACCUGAGAGGGUGAUCGGCCAAACUGGAACUGAGACACGGGCCAGACCCCUACGGGGGGCAGCAGUAGGGAAUCUUCCGCAAUGGGCGAAAGCCUGACGGAGCAACGCCGCGUGAGUGAUGAAGGUCUUCGGAUCGUAAAACUCUGUUAUUAGGGAAGAACAAACGUGUAAGUAACUGUGCACGUCUUGACGGUACCUAAUCAGAAAGCCACGGCUAACUACGUG